Molecule: long non-coding RNA, 100 nt
Organism: Nanorana parkeri
Lineage: Eukaryota; Metazoa; Chordata; Amphibia; Anura; Dicroglossidae
Exons: 4
Source: RefSeq, a predicted model, not a curated record
CUUCAUCUGUUUAAUAAUAAAUCCCUUCUUCUCUUGCAGCGCCUUUGCAAACCAGUGCUCCUGCUGGAAGGCGGUGGAGGAGGCGAUGCUAUGUGUCCUG